RNAcentral lists this ribosomal RNA (509 nucleotides) under uncultured bacterium. Its description in RNAcentral is "bacterial SSU rRNA". It matches the Rfam family "Bacterial small subunit ribosomal RNA", at positions 20 to 518 of the family's 1533-position model. The record is from RNAcentral.
UGGCUCAGGAUGAACGCUAGCUACAGGCUUAACACAUGCAAGUCGAGGGGCAUCAUGGAGUUUGCUUGCAAACUCUGAUGGCGACCGGCGCACGGGUGAGUAACGCGUAUCCAACCUUCCCUAUAGUAGAGGAUAGCCCGGCGAAAGUCGGAUUAAUACUCUAUGUUUUCCGUUGCAGACAUCUAAGAUGGAACAAAGGCUUGCCGCUAUAGGAUGGGGAUGCGUCUGAUUAGGUAGUCGGCGGGGUAACGGCCCACCGAGCCUUCGAUCAGUAGGGGUUCUGAGAGGAAGGUCCCCCACAUUGGAACUGAGACACGGUCCAAACUCCUACGGGAGGCAGCAGUGAGGAAUAUUGGUCAAUGGGCGCGAGCCUGAACCAGCCAAGUAGCGUGCAGGAUGACGGCCCUAUGGGUUGUAAACUGCUUUUAUGCGGGGAUAAAGUUCACUACGUGUAGUGUUUUGUAGGUACCGCAUGAAUAAGGACCGGCUAAUUCCGUGCCAGCCGCCGC